RNAcentral lists this ribosomal RNA (497 nucleotides) under uncultured bacterium. RNAcentral's name for it is "partial 16S ribosomal RNA". It matches the Rfam family "Bacterial small subunit ribosomal RNA", at positions 28 to 507 of the family's 1533-position model. The record is from RNAcentral.
GAUGAACGCUGGCGGCGUGCCUAAUACAUGCAAGUCGAGCGAACAGACGAGGAGCUUGCUCCUCUGACGUUAGCGGCGGACGGGUGAGUAACACGUGGAUAACCUACCUAUAAGACUGGGAUAACUUCGGGAAACCGGAGCUAAUACCGGAUAAUAUAUUGAACCGCAUGGUUCAAUGGUGAAAGACGGUUUUGCUGUCACUUAUAGAUGGAUCCGCGCCGCAUUAGCUAGUUGGUAAGGUAACGGCUUACCAAGGCAACGAUGCGUAGCCGACCUGAGAGGGUGGUCGGCCACACUGGAACUGAGACACGGUCCAGACUCCUACGGGAGGCAGCAGUAGGGAAUCUUCCGCAAUGGGCGAAAGCUUGACGGAGCAACGCCGCGUGAGUGAUGAAGGUCUUCGGAUCGUAAAACUCUGUUAUUAGGGAAGAACAAAUGUGUAAGUAACUAUGCACGUCUUGACGGUACCUAAUCAGAAAGCCACGGCUAACUACGUG